GACGAACGCUGGCGGCGUGCUUAACACAUGCAAGUCGAACGGAAAGGCCCUGCUUUUGUGGGGUGCUCGAGUGGCGAACGGGUGAGUAACACGUGAGUAACCUGCCCUUGACUUUGGGAUAACUUCAGGAAACUGGGGCUAAUACCGGAUAGGAGCUCCUGCUGCAUGGUGGGGGUUGGAAAGUUUCGGCUGUUGGGGAUGGACUCGCGGCUUAUCAGCUUGUUGGUGGGGUAGUGGCUUACCAAGGCUUUGACGGGUAGCCGGCCUGAGAGGGUGACCGGCGACAUGGGGACUGCGAUACGGCCCAGAAUCCUACGGGAGGCAGUAGUGGGGAAUAUUGCACAACGGGCGGAAGCCUGAUGCAGCAACGCCGCGUGCGGGAUGACGGCCUUCGGGUUGUAAACCGAUUUCGCCUGUGACGAAGCGUGAGUGACGGUAAUGGGUAAAGAAGCACCGGCUAACUACGUG
Molecule: ribosomal RNA, 468 nt
Filed under: uncultured bacterium
Lineage: Bacteria
Description: partial 16S ribosomal RNA
Rfam family: Bacterial small subunit ribosomal RNA
Source: RNAcentral